AUUGAACGCUGGCGGCAUGCCUUACACAUGCAAGUCGAACGGUAACGGGCCUUCGGGUGCCGACGAGUGGCGAACGGGUGCGUAGUACAUCGGAACGUGCCCGAUCGUGGGGGAUAACGAGGCGAAAGCUUUGCUAAUACCGCAUACGAUCUACGGAUGACAGCAGGGGACCGCAAGGCCUUGCGCGGACGGAGCGGCCGAUGGCAGAUUAGGUAGUUGGUGGGAUAAAAGCUUACCAAGCCGACGAUCUGUAGCUGGUCUGAGAGGAUGAUCAGCCACACUGGAACUGAGACACGGCCCAGACUCCUACGGGAGGCAGCAGUGGGGAAUUUUGGACAAUGGGCGCAAGCCUGAUCCAGCCAUGCCGCGUGCAGGAUGAAGGCCUUCGGGUUGUAAACUGCUUUUGUACGGAACGAAAAGCCUUCUUUUAAUACAGGGGGGUCAUGACGGUACCGUAAGAAUAAGCACCGGCUAACUACGUG
This 482-nucleotide ribosomal RNA is filed under the name uncultured bacterium. RNAcentral's name for it is "partial 16S ribosomal RNA". It matches the Rfam family "Bacterial small subunit ribosomal RNA", at positions 30 to 507 of the family's 1533-position model. The record is from RNAcentral.